This 488-nucleotide ribosomal RNA is filed under the name uncultured bacterium. RNAcentral describes it as "partial 16S ribosomal RNA". It matches the Rfam family "Bacterial small subunit ribosomal RNA", at positions 28 to 508 of the family's 1533-position model. The record is from RNAcentral.
GACGAACGCUGGCGGCGUGCUUAACACAUGCAAGUCGAACGGGCUCUGUCUGGCUGUGUGCUGGGUGGGGUUAGUGGCGAACGGGUGAGUAAUACGUGAGUAACCUGCCCUCUUCUUUGGGAUAAGCCUUGGAAACGGGGUCUAAUACUGGAUAUUCCUGUCUGGUCGCAUGGCUGGGUGGGGAAAGUUUUUUUCGGUGGGGGAUGGGCUCGCGGCCUAUCAGCUUGUUGGUGGGGUGAUGGCCUACCAAGGCGUCGACGGGUAGCCGGCCUGAGAGGGUGACCGGCGACACGGGGACUGAGAUACGGCCCAGACUCCUACGGGAGGCAGCAGUGGGGGAUAUUGCACAAUGGGCGCAAGCCUGAUGCAGCGACGCCGCGUGGGGGAUGACGGCUUUCGGGUUGUAAACCUCUUUCGUCGGGGGACAAGGCUCUGCUUGGUGGUGGGGUUGAGGGUACCCGGUGAAGAAGCGCCGGCUAACUACGUGC